This 227-nucleotide long non-coding RNA is filed under the name Elaeis guineensis (African oil palm). RNAcentral's name for it is "long non-coding RNA (EGUI_LNC075517)". The record is from RNAcentral. Lineage: Eukaryota; Viridiplantae; Streptophyta; Magnoliopsida; Arecales; Arecaceae.
CUGGGAUUGCUGCAGAACUUUGGUGAAUGUAGUGGGAGGGUCUUCUUUUGGAUGUCGAUCCUUUAAGAAAGGGAAGAAGAAUAAGAAGAACAAGAAAAGAGUGCAAAGUGUCAGGGCACCCAAACCCAGUCAAACCAAGAAACUCAAGUCUGAUCAGAGUCAGGAGGAAUACUUUUAUUGCAAGAAGAAGAGGCACUGAAAGAGAAAUUAUCCUUAGUACAUUGCCU